Molecule: non-coding RNA, 23 nt
Filed under: Arabidopsis thaliana (thale cress)
Lineage: Eukaryota; Viridiplantae; Streptophyta; Magnoliopsida; Brassicales; Brassicaceae
Source: RNAcentral
UUUUUACCGUCGCUGUCACAAUC